Molecule: unclassified non-coding RNA, 337 nt
Filed under: soil metagenome
Description: partial contains 5.8S ribosomal RNA, internal transcribed spacer 2, and large subunit ribosomal RNA
Rfam family: 5.8S ribosomal RNA (bases 1-120)
Source: RNAcentral
GAUGAAGAACGCAGCGAAAUGCGAUAAGUAAUGUGAAUUGCAGAAUUCAGUGAAUCAUCGAAUCUUUGAACGCACAUUGCGCCCGCCAGUAUUCUGGCGGGCAUGCCUGUCCGAGCGUCAUUUCAACCAUCAAGCCCCCGGGCUUGUGUUGGGGACCUGCGGCUGCCGCAGGCCCUGAAAAGCAGUGGCGGGCUCGCUGUCACACCGAGCGUAGUAGAUUUUAUCUCGCUCUGGGCGUGCUGCGGGUUCCGGCCGUUAAACCACCCUUUUAACCCAAGGUUGACCUCGGAUCAGGUAGGAAGACCCGCUGAACUUAAGCAUAUCAAUAAGCGGAGGA